UCUGGUAUUGAUUGGUGCUUGCAUCAUGAUUUACAUUUGAGUGAGUGGCGAACUGGUGAGUAACACGUGGGAAACCUGCCCAGAAGCGGGGGAUAACACCUGGAAACAGAUGCUAAUACCGCAUAACAACUUGGACCGCAUGGUCCGAGUUUGAAAGAUGGCUUCGGCUAUCACUUUUGGAUGGUCCCGCGGCGUAUUAGCUAGAUGGUGGGGUAACGGCUCACCAUGGCAAUGAUACGUAGCCGACCUGAGAGGGUAAUCGGCCACAUUGGGACUGAGACACGGCCCAAACUCCUACGGGAGGCAGCAGUAGGGAAUCUUCCACAAUGGACGAAAGUCUGAUGGAGCAACGCCGCGUGAGUGAAGAAGGGUUUCGGCUCGUAAAACUCUGUUGUUAAAGAAGAACAUAUCUGAGAGUAACUGUUCAGGUAUUGACGGUAUUUAACCAGAAAGCCACGGCUAACUACGUGCCAGCAGCCGCGGUAAUACGUAGGUGGCAAGCGUUGUCCGGAUUUAUUGGGCGUAAAGCGAGCGCAGGCGGUUUUUUAAGUCUGAUGUGAAAGCCUUCGGCUCAACCGAAGAAGUGCAUCGGAAACUGGGAAACUUGAGUGCAGAAGAGGACAGUGGAACUCCAUGUGUAGCGGUGAAAUGCGUAGAUAUAUGGAAGAACACCAGUGGCGAAGGCGGCUGUCUGGUCUGUAACUGACGCUGAGGCUCGAAAGUAUGGGUAGCAAACAGGAUUAGAUACCCUGGUAGUCCAUACCGUAAACGAUGAAUGCUAAGUGUUGGAGGGUUUCCGCCCUUCAGUGCUGCAGCUAACGCAUUAAGCAUUCCGCCUGGGGAGUACGGCCGCAAGGCUGAAACUCAAAGGAAUUGACGGGGGGCCCGCACAAGCGGUGGAGCAUGUGGUUUAAUUCGAAGCUACGCGAAGAACCUUACCAGGUCUUGACAUACUAUGCAAAUCUAAGAGAUUAGACGUUCCCUUCGGGGACAUGGAUACAGGUGGUGCAUGGUUGUCGUCAGCUCGUGUCGUGAGAUGUUGGGUUAAGUCCCGCAACGAGCGCAACCCUUAUUAUCAGUUGCCAGCAUUAAGUUGGGCACUCUGGUGAGACUGCCGGUGACAAACCGGAGGAAGGUGGGGAUGACGUCAAAUCAUCAUGCCCCUUAUGACCUGGGCUACACACGUGCUACAAUGGAUGGUACAACGAGUUGCGAACUCGCGAGAGUAAGCUAAUCUCUUAAAGCCAUUCUCAGUUCGGAUUGUAGGCUGCAACUCGCCUACAUGAAGUCGGAAUCGCUAGUAAUCGCGGAUCAGCAUGCCGCGGUGAAUACGUUCCCGGGCCUUGUACACACCGCCCGUCACACCAUGAGAGUUUGUAACACCCAAAGUCGGUGG
RNAcentral lists this ribosomal RNA (1396 nucleotides) under Lactiplantibacillus plantarum. RNAcentral describes it as "bacterial SSU rRNA". It matches the Rfam family "Bacterial small subunit ribosomal RNA", at positions 62 to 1433 of the family's 1533-position model. The record is from RNAcentral. Lineage: Bacteria; Bacillati; Bacillota; Bacilli; Lactobacillales; Lactobacillaceae.